Episyrphus balteatus (marmalade hoverfly) is the source of this 416-nucleotide long non-coding RNA. RefSeq lists it as uncharacterized. The record is from RefSeq and is a predicted model, not a curated record. The transcript has 2 exons. NCBI's taxonomy places the organism in Eukaryota, Metazoa, Arthropoda, Insecta, Diptera, Syrphidae.
GACCAAGGCCAGCACCGAGAGAGAAAAGACACCGAAAAUCUUCAAUCGAGCUAGAACCUCAGUACAUAGAAGAUAAUAAAAUCAAUGUUUCUGAUGCCUCAUAUCAAAGUAAAACAACAAUUUCAAAAACUCCAAAUGGCGUUCGUAUAAUUGUUGAUAUAUUUUUUGAUCAAAACAAAGGUAUUGCCUUAGAAGAUGUUGUUGGAAGUCGCAUUGAAACUGAUAUACCACCGAGUAAAAUUUUAAGAGAAUUUCAAAAAAGAGUAACUGAAUAUUCACAAGAUUGAGAAAAAACCAUCGAAGUUCAAUUUUUUUUUUCCUCCAAAUUUCGUAACACGUACUACUUUAUAAUUUUUAGAAGCUCUCAAUAGUCUAUUCCGAUGCAAUAAAAUAUAUUUUUGAAACUUUUACCAAAA